This 214-nucleotide unclassified non-coding RNA is filed under the name uncultured Ascomycota. Its description in RNAcentral is "sequence contains ITS1". Lineage: Eukaryota; Fungi; Ascomycota. The record is from RNAcentral.
GCGAGUCUUCUGUCGUCCGUACAGAACUCCCGUCCUGUGUCAUGUGUGCCGUAGGCCCUGAGAGGGGUGGUUCGGCGGAACAGAUUUCGGCGGAGGUGUUGCGCACGGGCCGCGCGCCGGGUAACCGGUGUUUGCGGAGCGUUGGGCGACCGCCGUCGGCGAUUUAACUCUUGAGAAUGUAUGAAGUCUGAGCAGGAAAAACCAAAAUGAAGCA